UUUUAGUGCCUUUUUAAGGAACACACAUGCAUACAAAGGGUAGUCCUUUUCAUAUCCCCAAUUUUUCACAUCUCCAUUAUCAUUUCAUUAUUCAUUUCUGUCUUACAUAAUCUGCAGCUUAGUCAAUUCUUUUGGUUUUAAGGUGGGAAGACCUGCCUGUGUCUGUAUCCCUGGGGCUCCUCUAAACCUGCCGGUUUGUGAGAUGAUUUCAUGGUUUCUUUUACAUGGAUCAAAUGUCUACCCUACAAAGAACUGGAUGGAGUUAACAGCUGAGCAAAGAUUAGAGAGGAACCUACUUUCAUUUGGGAAAAACAGGACCAUACCAUGUGUACAAGACAGAAAUUUCUACAGAUGCUUUAUGAAAGAAAAAAUAUCUUACCAAAGUUACUACUGCACAUUCAGCAGUUAGCAGUGCGGCACUAAAAAGAGUACGAACAAAUCUGUAAAUGAAUUCGUGUUCAGGAUCAUG
Balaenoptera acutorostrata (minke whale) is the source of this 469-nucleotide long non-coding RNA. RefSeq lists it as uncharacterized. The transcript is spliced from 2 exons. The record is from RefSeq and is a predicted model, not a curated record. NCBI's taxonomy places the organism in Eukaryota, Metazoa, Chordata, Mammalia, Artiodactyla, Balaenopteridae.